AUUGAACGCUGGCGGCAGGCUUAACACAUGCAAGUCGAACGGUAACAUAAAGGCGCUUGCUUCUUUGAUGACGAGUGGCGGACGGGUGAGUAAUGCUUGGGAAUCUAGCUUAUGGAGGGGGAUAACUACGGGAAACUGUAGCUAAUACCGCGUAGAAUCGGGAGAUGAAAGUGUGGGACCUUCUGGCCACAUGCCAUAGGAUGAGCCCAAGUGGGAUUAGGUAGUUGGUGAGGUAAAGGCUCACCAAGCCGACGAUCUCUAGCUGGUCUGAGAGGAUGACCAGACACACUGGGACUGAGACACGGCCCAGACUCCUACGGGAGGCAGCAGUGGGGAAUAUUGCGCAAUGGGGGCAACCCUGACGCAGCCAUGCCGCGUGAAUGAAGAAGGCCUUCGGGUUGUAAAGUUCUUUCGGUAGCGAGGAAGGCAUUUAGUUUAAUAGACUAGGUGAUUGACGUUAACUACAGAAGAAGCACCGGCUAACUCCGUG
Molecule: ribosomal RNA, 490 nt
Filed under: uncultured bacterium
Lineage: Bacteria
Description: partial 16S ribosomal RNA
Rfam family: Bacterial small subunit ribosomal RNA
Source: RNAcentral